Molecule: ribosomal RNA, 255 nt
Filed under: uncultured bacterium
Lineage: Bacteria
Description: partial 16S ribosomal RNA
Rfam family: Bacterial small subunit ribosomal RNA
Source: RNAcentral
UACGUAGGGUGCAAGCGUUGUCCGGAAUUAUUGGGCGUAAGGAGCUCGUAGGCGGUUUGUCGCGUCUGGUGUGAAAAUCCAGGGCUUAACCCUGGACCUGCAUCGGGUACGGGCAGACUAGAGUGCGGUAGGGGAGAUCGGAAUUCCUGGUGUAGCGGUGGAAUGCGCAGAUAUCAGGAGGAACACCGAUGGCGAAGGCAGGUCGACUGGGACCGCAACUGACGCUGAGGAGCGAAAGCAUGGGGAGCGAACAGG